AUUUUGGCGCUGAUUGUUGUAAAUGUUGUUGUCGCUGUUAUUUGGUUUUAUUUGGCAAUUAAAACCGAUUUCCAAAAAUCGCCUCAGGCUCCCCGCAUCGACACUCAGCAUACGCUACCCUCUGCCUCCAACCAGCUGUCGUAAAAGUCACGCACCAUAAAACUGACAGCUGUUAAAAUGUUGAGCGGGAAAUGUCGAUGUCGAUGAGGAUGAGGAUGGGAAACUGUGUGAAUUGUGUUGAAACUAUGCGGAUGAGGAAUGAGGGACACUGAGGGAGUUGAUUUCGCUUUUUGCAGCUAUGUGAAUUGAUCAAGUGAGUUUGCAAAGUGCCAAACGCAAAAUCUAUCGAUGUGCAAUUUGUUCUCAAGUUAAUCAUAAUAUCUAUUUUAUGGAAUUGCAAUCAAUAAAAGCAAACAAUAUCGAUAAGAAAUGAUAUCACAGCAAUUUUUAAAAUUAUUUUAGAACUAUAAUUGGAGGAAAGUCAUU
Molecule: long non-coding RNA, 486 nt
Organism: Drosophila innubila
Lineage: Eukaryota; Metazoa; Arthropoda; Insecta; Diptera; Drosophilidae
Exons: 2
Source: RefSeq, a predicted model, not a curated record